UGCAGCCCCAAGGCUGACAGAGGUAAUGCAAAAGACCUGGAAGUCAAAUAAAAAGCAGAAGUGACUGGCAGGAACAGAAGCCGGGUGACCAAGCAGUAACAGCUCCAGGCUCUAGAACCACUUGGGAUGCAGGGGGUGGAUGGAAGAAAUGUCUGAUGGGUACAGCUGUUAUCCAAGGACAGAGAUCACUCGUGUAUGAGAAAGAGCGCAAUUGCUUAUUGAUGUAAUGGAAGCCAAUGAAGAUAAUGUAGAAGGCAGGUAAAUGAUAGCAUCUUUCCAAAAGAUAUGCAGAAUCUCUCCUGCUUCUUCUGAGGUACUUGCAAAUCUUGCCAUUUACUUGCCCUAAGGUGAGUCUGACAACGCACUACUAGAGUGAAAGUUCGGAAUAUGAGUAAUUAAGGAAGUCCUUAUCGCUGUUCUCAUUUUAUCUGGUGUUUGUUUCUUUUCCACAAAGAUGACAAGAGCUCUGAAUGCUGAUAAAACAAGAUAUCUUGUUCUGGGACUACGCUCAGCCUGAGCUUCUCACUUAUCUUGCAGGCACUCAGUCUUCAAAAACCAGGAAUAUACUUCUUUGGGAGAUAAAGUUACAACAGAAUUUUGAAUAAACUGAACCUGGAAACGCUUCUGGUUCAGCUAACAGAAUGACGUGGUGGCCUUGGAAAAUGACACACUGCAGGCUAACACUGGGGGAAAUGAAGAUGCAGAGUUAGAAGAGUUUCAAACAUGUGGGAAAAUGAUGGAGAAAAACUUUGACAUGCUUACUCAUCUCCUUCAAAUCUUCAUGCUGGACAAGAGAGAUGUAUACGAGCUGGAAAGAAAGGUAC
This is a long non-coding RNA of Grus americana (Whooping crane), 824 nucleotides long. RefSeq lists it as uncharacterized. The record is from RefSeq and is a predicted model, not a curated record. NCBI's taxonomy places the organism in Eukaryota, Metazoa, Chordata, Aves, Gruiformes, Gruidae. The transcript is spliced from 4 exons.